Equus caballus (horse) is the source of this 584-nucleotide non-coding RNA. Lineage: Eukaryota; Metazoa; Chordata; Mammalia; Perissodactyla; Equidae. The record is from the annotation of a RefSeq genome assembly.
CUUAGUUAAAUACUGACAUGUCUGUGCCCUGAGAGCAUCACCCAACAGCCACUCCUUCCCACACAGAAGCCCUGAGAGCACAGCCCCUCAGCAUGGACUGGAGCUGGAGCAUCCUCUUCUUGGUGGCAGUGGCUGCAGGUGUCUCCUCCGAGGUCCAGCUGGUGCAGUCUGGGGCUGAGGUGAAGAAGCCAGGGGCAUCCGUGAAGGUCUCCUGCAAGGCUUCUGGAGACAGCUUCACUUAUUACUCUAUGAGCUGGGUGCGACAGGCCCCUGGACAAGGGCUUGAGUGGACGGGAUAUAUCUAUCCUGAAUAUGAUGCUAUGGGCUACCCGCAGAAGUUCCAGGGCAGAGUCACCAUGACUGCGGACAAGUCCACGAGCACAGUCUACAUGGAGCUGAGCAGUCUGGCAUCUGAGGACACAGCCGUGUAUUACUGUGCAACAGACACAGUGUGAUAACCCACAUCCUGAGCGUGUCAGAAACCCUGAGGGAGACGGCAGCUGUGCUGGGUGGAGGCGAUGCAGGGAGCAUGAUUCAUUUCUUGGCUUCCUUAGAAAACAGGGUUAGAAAUUGAGUAAAAGGAA